Molecule: ribosomal RNA, 253 nt
Filed under: uncultured bacterium
Lineage: Bacteria
Description: partial 16S ribosomal RNA
Rfam family: Bacterial small subunit ribosomal RNA
Source: RNAcentral
UACGGGGGGGGCAAGCGUUGUUCGGAAUUACUGGGCGUAAAGGGCUCGUAGGUGGCCAACUAAGUCAGACGUGAAAUCCCUCAGCUUAACUGGGGAACUGCGUCUGAUACUGGAUGGCUUGAGUUUGGGAGAGGGAUGCGGAAUUCCAGGUGUAGCGGUGAAAUGCGUAGAUAUCUGGAGGAACACCGGUGGCGAAGGCGGCAUCCUGGACCAACACUGACGCUGAGGUGCGAAAGCGUGGGGAGCAAACAGG